This is a long non-coding RNA of Drosophila miranda, 299 nucleotides long. RefSeq lists it as uncharacterized. The transcript is spliced from 2 exons. The record is from RefSeq and is a predicted model, not a curated record. NCBI's taxonomy places the organism in Eukaryota, Metazoa, Arthropoda, Insecta, Diptera, Drosophilidae.
AGGGUUAAUCUUCUGGAACUGAACAGCUGCUCGCAGAUUUAGUGCGGCUCCAGAUCCCCCCGAUGUCCCCAUACACCAUCGAGCCUCCCUGGACUCAGCCCUGGCCACCUAUCGUUCAGGUGGGACUGGAACAAAGAUUCAUAAUUUUUGUGGAGAGUAUUUUAAUGGCCACUGGUCGACAAUGGGUUAGUUGUUCUAUGUCCAUGAUCGGAAGUAAAAUUCGUCGAUUUUGAUAUUCCGUUGAUAUAUAAAUAAAAUAAAUAAACUGCAAUAUUUCGUUGAAAUAGCUCUAAAAUAGA